AGUUCUCGUUGAUGAUCGGUGCUUGCACCGAGAUUCAACAUGGAACGAGUGGCGGACGGGUGAGUAACACGUGGGUAACCUGCCCUUAAGUGGGGGAUAACAUUUGGAAACAGAUGCUAAUACCGCAUAGAUCCAAGAACCGCAUGGUUCUUGGCUGAAAGAUGGCGUAAGCUAUCGCUUUUGGAUGGACCCGCGGCGUAUUAGCUAGUUGGUGAGGUAAUGGCUCACCAAGGCGAUGAUACGUAGCCGAACUGAGAGGUUGAUCGGCCACAUUGGGACUGAGACACGGCCCAAACUCCUACGGGAGGCAGCAGUAGGGAAUCUUCCACAAUGGACGCAAGUCUGAUGGAGCAACGCCGCGUGAGUGAAGAAGGCUUUCGGGUCGUAAAACUCUGUUGUUGGAGAAGAAUGGUCGGCAGAGUAACUGUUGUCGGCGUGACGGUAUCCAACCAGAAAGCCACGGCUAACUACGUGCCAGCAGCCGCGGUAAUACGUAGGUGGCAAGCGUUAUCCGGAUUUAUUGGGCGUAAAGCGAGCGCAGGCGGUUUUUUAAGUCUGAUGUGAAAGCCCUCGGCUUAACCGAGGAAGCGCAUCGGAAACUGGGAAACUUGAGUGCAGAAGAGGACAGUGGAACUCCAUGUGUAGCGGUGAAAUGCGUAGAUAUAUGGAAGAACACCAGUGGCGAAGGCGGCUGUCUGGUCUGUAACUGACGCUGAGGCUCGAAAGCAUGGGUAGCGAACAGGAUUAGAUACCCUGGUAGUCCAUGCCGUAAACGAUGAAUGCUAGGUGUUGGAGGGUUUCCGCCCUUCAGUGCCGCAGCUAACGCAUUAAGCAUUCCGCCUGGGGA
RNAcentral lists this ribosomal RNA (847 nucleotides) under uncultured bacterium. Its description in RNAcentral is "bacterial SSU rRNA". It matches the Rfam family "Bacterial small subunit ribosomal RNA", at positions 60 to 879 of the family's 1533-position model. The record is from RNAcentral.